GCCUGAAGAUGAGCUCGCGUCUGAUUAGCUAGUUGGUGGUGUAAGAGACAACCAAGGCAACGAUCAGUAGCUGGUUUGAGGGGAUGAUCAGCCACACUGGGACUGAGACACGGCCCAGACUCCUACGGGAGGCAGCAGUGGGGAAUUUUCCGCAAUGGGCGAAAGCCUGACGGAGCAAUACCGCGUGAGGGAGGAAGGCUCUUGGGUCGUAAACCUCUUUUCUUAAGGAAGAAUAAUGACGGGACUUGAGGAAUAAGCAUCGGCUAACUCCCUGCCCGCCCCCGCGGUAAUACCGAGGAUGCAAGCCUUUUCCCGAAUGAUUGGGCGUAAAGGGUCCCCAGGUGGGACUGAAAGUCUGCUGUUAAAAAAACUGGCUCAACCAAAUAAAAGCAGUGGAAACUACCCAACUAGAGUAUGGUAGGGGUGGAAGGAAUUCCUAGUGUAGCGGGGAAAUGCGUUGAGAUUAGGAAGAAAAAAAGUGGGGAAAGGAUUCUACUUUACCAAGACUGACACUGAAGGACGAAAG
This 526-nucleotide ribosomal RNA is filed under the name uncultured Anabaena sp. RNAcentral describes it as "bacterial SSU rRNA". It matches the Rfam family "Bacterial small subunit ribosomal RNA", at positions 217 to 759 of the family's 1533-position model. Lineage: Bacteria; Bacillati; Cyanobacteriota; Cyanophyceae; Nostocales; Nostocaceae. The record is from RNAcentral.